GACGUAGGUGGCGAACGUCAUCCGGAAUUAUUGGGCGUAAAGGGUGCGUAGGUGGCCUGACAAGUUAUCAGUGGCAAAUCGAGGCUCAACCUCGUGGAAACUGGUAAUACUGUCCGGCUUGAGUGCAGGAGAGGUUAACGGAACUCUAUGUGGAGGGGUAAAAUCCAUAGAUAUAUAGAUGAACAUCAAUAAAGGCGAAGGCAGUUAACUAUUCUGUUACUGACACUGAGGCACGAAAGCGUGGGGAGCAAAACGG
This 256-nucleotide ribosomal RNA is filed under the name uncultured bacterium. RNAcentral describes it as "partial 16S ribosomal RNA". It matches the Rfam family "Bacterial small subunit ribosomal RNA", at positions 524 to 776 of the family's 1533-position model. The record is from RNAcentral.